This 510-nucleotide ribosomal RNA is filed under the name uncultured bacterium. RNAcentral's name for it is "partial 16S ribosomal RNA". It matches the Rfam family "Bacterial small subunit ribosomal RNA", at positions 28 to 507 of the family's 1533-position model. The record is from RNAcentral.
GACGAACGCUGGCGGCGUGCUUAACACAUGCAAGUCGAACGAAGAGCGACUGACGCUUGCUUCUAUCAAUCUCAGUGGCGAACGGGUGUGUAACGCGGAAGCAACCUGCCCUUCAGAGGGGGACAACAGUGGGAAACGACUCCUAAUACCGCAUACGAUCUAAUCUUGGCAUCGAGGACGGAUGAAAGGUGGCCUCUACAGGUAAGCUACCACUGAAGUUGGGGAGGGCGUCUGCUUAGCUAGUUGGAGGGGUCACGGCCCUCCAAGGCGAUGAUCAGUAGGCCGUCUGAGAGGGUGGACGGCCACAUUGGGACUGGGACACGGCCCAGACUCCUACGGGAGGCAGCAGUGGGGGAUCUUCCGCAAUGGACGAAAGUCUGACGGAGCCACGCCGCGUGAGUGAUGGCGGCCUUCGGGUUGUAAAGCUCUGUUAAUCGGGGCGAAAGGCCUUCUUGCGAAUCGGUAGACGGAUUGACGGUACCGGAAUAGAAAGCCACGGCUAACUACGUG